Molecule: unclassified non-coding RNA, 200 nt
Filed under: soil metagenome
Description: partial contains internal transcribed spacer 2 and large subunit ribosomal RNA
Source: RNAcentral
AGCGUCAUUUCAACCGCCAAGCUCCCGGGCUUGUGUUGGGGCCCUGCGGCUGCCCGCAGGCCCCGAAAACCAGUGGCGGGCUCGCUGUCACCCCGAGCGUAGUAGCUUUUGUCUCGCUCCGGGCGUGCCGCGGGCUCCGGCCGUGAAACAUCCACACCAAGGUUGACCUCGGAUCAGGUAGGAAUACCCGCUGAACUUAA